GUAGUCAUAUGCUUGUCUCAAAGAUUAAGCCAUGCAUGUCUAAGUAUAAGCAAUUUGUACGGUGAAACUGCGAAUGGCUCAUUAAAUCAGUUAUCGUUUAUUUGAUAGUACCUUACUACAUGGAUACCUGUGGUAAUUCUAGAGCUAAUACAUGCUUAAAACCCCGACUUCGGAAGGGGUGUAUUUAUUAGAUAAAAAACCAAUGCCCUUCGGGGCUCCUUGGUGAUUCAUAAUAACUUAUCGAAUCGCAUGGCCUUGCGCCGGCGAUGGUUCAUUCAAAUUUCUGCCCUAUCAACUUUCGAUGGUAGGAUAGUGGCCUACCAUGGUGGCAACGGGUAACGGGGAAU
This 347-nucleotide ribosomal RNA is filed under the name uncultured fungus. RNAcentral's name for it is "SSU rRNA". It matches the Rfam family "Eukaryotic small subunit ribosomal RNA", at positions 20 to 370 of the family's 1831-position model. Lineage: Eukaryota; Fungi. The record is from RNAcentral.